RNAcentral lists this ribosomal RNA (219 nucleotides) under uncultured bacterium. RNAcentral describes it as "partial 16S ribosomal RNA". The record is from RNAcentral.
AAUUCGCCCUUAGCCAGCUUUUUCAUCUCGUCCCAAGAUGCAAAGCGCGGUGGCUCUGGCUGUGCAAGGCGCCCUUGCGCGCUCAAAAGCCCCGCAGUAGCCGCGCAUAUCACCAGGGCAGCGCCUGCUGUCGGAGCGCAGCGCAUGAUUCUGGGGGUGGCCUUGGGUGCAGCAACGCUAGGACUCCGGAACGCAAGAGUUCAAGACCCAGCAGCUAAA